RNAcentral lists this ribosomal RNA (845 nucleotides) under uncultured organism. RNAcentral's name for it is "SSU rRNA". It matches the Rfam family "Bacterial small subunit ribosomal RNA", at positions 39 to 897 of the family's 1533-position model. The record is from RNAcentral.
GCGGCGCGCCUAACACAUGCAAGUCGAACGAGAGAUGAGGAGCUUGCUCUUCAAAUCGAGUGGCGAACGGGUGAGUAACGCGUGAGGAACCUGCCUCAAAGAGGGGGACAACAGUUGGAAACGACUGCUAAUACCGCAUAAGCCCACGGCUCGGCAUCGAGCAGAGGGAAAAGGAGCAAUCCGCUUUGAGAUGGCCUCGCGUCCGAUUAGCUAGUUGGUGAGGUAAUGGCCCACCAAGGCGACGAUCGGUAGCCGGACUGAGAGGUUGAACGGCCACAUUGGGACUGAGACACGGCCCAGACUCCUACGGGAGGCAGCAGUGGGGAAUAUUGCACAAUGGGGGAAACCCUGAUGCAGCGACGCCGCGUGGAGGAAGAAGGUCUUCGGAUUGUAAACUCCUGUUGUUGAGGAAGAUAAUGACGGUACUCAACAAGGAAGUGACGGCUAACUACGUGCCAGCAGCCGCGGUAAAACGUAGGUCACAAGCGUUGUCCGGAAUUACUGGGUGUAAAGGGAGCGCAGGCGGGAGAACAAGUUGGAAGUGAAAUCCAUGGGCUCAACCCAUGAACUGCUUUCAAAACUGUUUUUCUUGAGUAGUGCAGAGGUAGGCGGAAUUCCCGGUGUAGCGGUGGAAUGCGUAGAUAUCGGGAGGAACACCAGUGGCGAAGGCGGCCUACUGGGCACCAACUGACGCUGAGGCUCGAAAGUGUGGGUAGCAAACAGGAUUAGAUACCCUGGUAGUCCACACCGUANACGAUGAUUACUAGGUGUUGGAGGAUUGACCCCUUCAGUGCCGCAGUUAACACAAUAAGUAAUCCACCUGGGGAGUACGACCGCAAGGUUGA